AUUGAACGCUGGCGGCAGGCCUAACACAUGCAAGUCGAACGAGUGGCGGACGGGUGAGUAAUGUCUGGGAACCUGCCCGAUGGAGGGGGAUAACUACUGGAACCGGUAGCUACUACCGCAUACCCUCGGAUGUGCCCAGAUGGGAUUAGCUAGGAGGUGGGGUAUAGGCUCACCUAGGCGUCGAUCCCUAGCUGGUCUGCGAGGAUGACCAGCCACACUGGAACUGAGACACGGUCCAGACUCCUACGGGAGGCAGCAGGGGGGAAUCUUGGACAAUGGGCGCAAGCCUGAUGCAGCCAUGCCGCGUGUAUGAAGAAGGUCUUCGGGUUGUAAAGUACUUUCAGCGGGGAGGCGUUACCCGCAGAAGAAGCACCGGCUAACUCCGUGCCAGCAGCCGCGGUAAUUC
This 406-nucleotide ribosomal RNA is filed under the name uncultured bacterium. Its description in RNAcentral is "partial 16S ribosomal RNA". It matches the Rfam family "Bacterial small subunit ribosomal RNA", at positions 30 to 526 of the family's 1533-position model. The record is from RNAcentral.